RNAcentral lists this transfer RNA (72 nucleotides) under Spirochaetes bacterium GWC2_52_13. Its description in RNAcentral is "tRNA-Val". It matches the Rfam family "tRNA". Rfam says of the family: Transfer RNA (tRNA) molecules are approximately 80 nucleotides in length. Their secondary structure includes four short double-helical elements and three loops (D, anti-codon, and T loops). RNAcentral also lists the same sequence under 5 other names. Lineage: Bacteria; Pseudomonadati; Spirochaetota. The record is from RNAcentral.
GGGGGGUUAGCUCAGUGGGAGAGCUCCUGCCUUACAAGCAGGCUGUCGUGGGUUCAAAUCCCUCACCCCCCA